CGAGGUGGCGAGCACGCCCGUCUCGAUGGCGGUGGAGACUCUGAUCUGGUUCCCCAGCCCGGCGGCGGAGAUGGCGUUGUAGACGUUGCGCAUGGCCGGGAGCACGAACUGCGCGUACUGGGCGGUGUCGCGGAUGGGGCUCACCUCGUUCCCCACGGCGAUGUAGCGGAACCGCACGUUCGGGUAGUUGCGGACGUUGGUUUGGACCCAGGCGUUGGCGUUGGCUUGGGAGGCUGCAAGCCUCUGCAGGUCAGUGUUGGGGACGCCGAGCAUCAGCUCGAUGUUGGAGCCGCGGAGGGCGCCCAGGGCGGCCUGGUUGGGGUCGUACAAUCGCAUUCGCCGGAUGUUGUUCUGGUUGUACAGACCCACCACGUCGCUCGCCGCCGGCAGAUUGUUCCCCAGCAUCCCGUAACACACGCCCGUCU
This 425-nucleotide long non-coding RNA is filed under the name Salvia miltiorrhiza (redroot sage). RNAcentral describes it as "long non-coding RNA (SMIL_LNC006372)". Lineage: Eukaryota; Viridiplantae; Streptophyta; Magnoliopsida; Lamiales; Lamiaceae. The record is from RNAcentral.